AUGUUGUUGUCAUCCUCAAGGUCGUGGAGCAUGUCUGCUUCACAAAACAAAGGGGUAGGCAGGGCCUUGUUUCUCCACCUUGUUCUCAGCGCACCCUGGACCUUUCAGGAAAAACCAGGAGGGUUUCUAAUGUUUUCUUUUCCUGAAACACAUCAAAGACCACUCCCAGCUUUCUCCUCUGAUUUUUGGAGCAAUGAGGAGAAAAUACAUUGGAUUACUGUGAUGGGUAUGUUGAUACCACACUCACUGCAGGACAGAAAUGGCAUCACUGCAGCCUGCGCCUGGAGAAGAGCAGUGGAGGAGGGCUGUGGAAACCAAGUAUACAGGAUUUAUACCUCUUCGUGUCUUCUCUGCUUCUCACAACACAAACUGACUUUGAAAGAUUGGCUCAGAAAAUGA
RNAcentral lists this long non-coding RNA (399 nucleotides) under Anser cygnoides (Swan goose). RNAcentral describes it as "lncRNA (ENSACDG00005008725.1)". Lineage: Eukaryota; Metazoa; Chordata; Aves; Anseriformes; Anatidae. The record is from RNAcentral.